UACGUAGGGUGCAAGCGUUGUCCGGAAUUAUUGGGCGUAAAGAGCUCGUAGGCGGUUUGUCGCGUCUGGUGUGAAAAUCCAGGGCUUAACCCUGGACCUGCAUCGGGUACGGGCAGACUAGAGUGCGGUAGGGGAGAUCGGAAUUCCUGGUGUAGCGGUGAAAUGCGCAGAUAUCAGGAGGAACACCGGUGGCGAAGGCGACUCUUUGGCCUGUAACUGACGCUGAGGCGCGAAAGCGUGGGGAGCAAACAGG
Molecule: ribosomal RNA, 253 nt
Filed under: uncultured bacterium
Lineage: Bacteria
Description: partial 16S ribosomal RNA
Rfam family: Bacterial small subunit ribosomal RNA
Source: RNAcentral